ACUAAAGCACAUAAAAAGUACUUAAUUAUAAUUUUAACUGUAGAGUGUUAUUUAAUGUAAAUAUAUUUUAAAUGUACUAAAAAUGUGUCAUUACAAAAAUAUUUAAAUACAUGACAUACAAGUUUCAAUAGAAAUGACAUUAAAAUAUAAUUUAGUUUACCAUAAAUGCUUAUCAGUACAUUCGGCAGCACACUUAAACAUAUUUAAAAGACAAUAGAAGUAAAUUACAUUUAAUUUUGUACUUAAGUCCUACUUAAUAAGCAGUAAAAAAGCACACCAAAGUUAAGCUAUUUGCAUUCAUUUAAUUGCAGUUGAUAUGCAAUUAAGUGUCUGAAAACAUUGCAUUCAGUUAACACAUAUAUUUUUAAAGUAUAUUAAGUACUUUUUUUUAAAACUACAUCUAAAUCACAAGAGCAUGUUUCACAUUUCAAUGCUUUCUGCUUCACGCUUGACAGUACAAAGCCAUUUCUGGUCUUACACGUCUAACUGCAGCUUGCACAGAACAUGUGGUAAAGUUAACUAGUAUAAAAUAUAUAUUUUCAUCCAUAUGAAAUAAAAAAAGAGCUGCUGAUGCAGCAGAACAAUGUGUUGUUUGUUUGCUUGCGUGUGUUUGUGUGUGUGCUUAAAAAAGCUCUGCUGUAUGUGAAGAACUUUGACCGAAACAAACACUGAAGACGACAUCAUGACACUACAUUCUGGCAUAUUAGUGACAGAAUGACAGACAUAACAAAUGUCCCAACUGAUAAACUAUUUUAAUGUAAUAAACACACAGAGAAACAUCAUAAUGGGCUGUAGACUGCUGAGCAAAUGACCUCUUCCAAAACAGAAAACCUCAAGUUAUCACAUCCUAAAACAGAAACAGUCACACAUACACCAAACCACGGCCUAUCCAUCACACACACUUAUCACUCAUUGUCCUUUCCUGUAUUGACAGAACAAACACACACAUUUCUGCUCAAGCAGUCUUAGCAAGGUGGCCAACAGGAAACCAUGGCAACACACUCAACCUCUCCAUAUGGAAACACAAAUUAUAUUCCAUUACACUGUAAAAUAAAUUGUAAUAGUAACUGUAAGAUUAUAAAAAUGCUACAUUAAAAACUUGUUAAUUUAUUAAUAACAAGUUGUCUUACUGACUGUAAUAGAUUUAACUUUACAUUUCAUGUAAUUACAGUAAAAUAUUGUUAAAUAUACCAUUUUUGGGAGUAAAAAAGAACAAAUCAUCCUAUAAUUUAAGGUGAAAAGCCAUAAACUGACAUUCCCAGAAUUCCCAGUGUGACACUUAACAUUUGAUGGUUUUUAAUUUUAAUUAUUGUUUCUUUUCAGUUUUUUGUUAUCAGUUAUGUACAAUAUGUUACAUCUUAUGUUAAGUUAAUGCUUAUUGUGUUAUUUUAGUGUCGUGUGUUAACAUGAAGGUCUUUUGUAUUUGUGUUCAUGACACUGUGUACACAAUAUAUUAAUAUUUACCUCAGCUUGUGGAAAGCUACUUGUGAUGAACAUUGAUUCAUCAUGUGUCUUUCUCUUUAUACUUUAUUAUCGUGGAUGUAAAAAGUACAAAACAGAUUUUACUAGCAGUGUGGCCUUGCAAAUUCAGCAGAAAAGGGCUGAUUGGAUUUAACGGUUUAAAAUGUUGUUGUUGUUUUUUUCGUUUUUUUGUAAAUUACAGUUUUAAAUUGUAAAAUUUACAGAUUUUUUUUUUUUUUUUUCGGUAAAAAUCACAGGAUUUUUUUUUUUACAGUGUACAAAGAAUUCCACAAAAAUGAAAUGCACAAAUGUACACAUAAAACAAUUCACAAAACAAUAUACACUGUAAAAAGUGGUAACCUGCAAUUGUUACCAUAAAUAGCUUUUUUUACUAAAAAAAACCCCCCAUAAUUUUGUUGGUAUAAAUCAAUGUAUUUAGGUUGCUUAAAUAUUUAGGGAAUAUUAAAUAAUAUAUUUAGGCAAUAUUAAAUCAUAUUUUUGACUUGAAUAAAACUAGCUAAUUUAGACGUUAUCAUUUAGGUUACCAUUUUUUCAGUGUAGAAACAUCUAAAAUAUUACAAAUAACAAGCCAUUUCACUCUCCAAGCAUACCAAAUGUAUUUGAGCUCUGACUGGCUAAUUUAGCCUCAGUACUCUGUUUGACAGAAACCACCGAAAAUACAAAGAAAAUCUGUAUUCUUGUAGACAGUAGUGCAACCUUAAAUAAGGCAUCUUUGGUAAUGAUACACAGCCACGCACACACAAGCCUCCAUUAAGCUACAUGAAGCGUGUUUUAUAUAGGAUCUCAUUGUAUGGUGGAAUGUGUGCGUGUGUAGACUGCAGAGAUGUGGGCGGACACUUUCAAUUACAGCCCUCAUAGAGAGAGAGAAGAGAAUAAUAGUUGAAAUAGAAGAGCCGCAGUGCUGAGAAAACGAGUGCAGGGCAAGAAACAGAUGGAGUCACAAGGUGAGGGAAAGAGGGAUUUGCACACAGAAGAAAAGAGAAAUAGUCUCCAUGUCAAGAGACGCUUAGGCCCCGUUUACACCUGGUAUUAAGAUGGGUUUUGGUCGAUCGGAUCACAAGUGGACGACGCUAAGUACAGGUGUAAACGGGGUGUAAAAUGUUUUGAGCUUGUCAACUUUCAACCACUUCCAGAGCAUAGGUGUAGCUUGACGUUUGAGCUUGGGGGGUCGAUUUGGUUAGUCACACUUUUAAAUACAUUUUAGCUUUUCUAUAGUAAGCUUUUUAUUUUGUAUUAUUACUUAGUAUUUUUGCUGUGCUAGCAAUAAACAUGUUGAAAAUAAUGCACUAUAAACAUGUUUGUCAACAGAAUCUCAACCUACUGUAGGCUUUUAUUAAGCAAAUCAAUGAGUGAAUUACUCACCCACUGCUUUAAAACAGAUAUCUGUUGGGCAUGAUUCAAGUUAAAUGCACAAUAGCAGGCACACUUCAUAUUUAGUAAAUCGUACUGAAUAUGGCCGAUUAAUCAGUUUAUAUUCUAAAAUCCAUGUUUAAGUUUUGUUCUGUUUUGUUGUUUGUCCUAACCCUAGACCCAAGUUUGGUUUGAGGAUGAAAAUUAUACUAAACACAAUGUUCUCUCACCAUUCCUGAUUUCUAACACUCACUCACCGUGUUCAGCGUGGUCUUGAGGCUAUCAGAGCAGAAACGAAAGCGGAUGCUUUCCAUGUUUUUCCGUAGUCUCCUGUGCGUUCAUAUGCAAAUUGCAUGAGCUUAUUUUGUCCACCUGAUAGAAAGAUCUGAAAACCCAUACAUUUACCAGCACAUAGAUCUUCCCCUCAAAGAAAUCAGGACAGAAGUGGUUGAAAGUGGACAAAAUAGACGGAUUAAAACACCAGGUGUAAACAGGUAUGUGUCUGCCUCGUACUUGUGAUCCGAUCGACCAAAUGCAUCUUAUGCUGCCUUCAAGUGCUAUAGAAAAUUUGAUUUGACUUCCCACUUCUGAAGUCGUGAUUAUGACUUCUGUUCUGUGUGGACUGGUGAUGCAAAUUCUGCCCUAUAACCGUUCAUAGAUCGUUAUUAAAGGUGGAGUAAGUAGUUUUUCAAAAACGCUGUUGGACAUCGUUGAUAUUUGAAAUCAACCCAAACAAACCCACCCCUCUCUUUAUGGCUCCGCAUCCAAAACUCACCCUCCAAUUCUAACCACCCUGCUCUGAGUCGGUCUCGAACCCUGGCCUGUUCGCUGCUGGCAGGUGAGGCAAGUGCACUGACAAUGAUGCUAAACACCGCAUUCUCUAGCGGUGGUCAGUGUGCAGUGGUUUACCUGCACAACUCUCACUAUCUGGCCUCUGUUACACAUGCAAUGCGAGAGUGGAUGUCUGUUUAUCACAGCUGACGUGCAACAAAAUGCUUCAUGAAAAAUAAAGCGCAGAUGACGAACAAACAACAGGGUAGCACAAAAAAUGAACAUACAGCACACAAGAGUAAAUACAAACAAGAGUUCGUUGUUAGUCACCAACAGCACAGCAGCUCCAGACAAUCAAUGACACUCAAACCCAGUGUUACUCACGUGUGAAGCGGAAUCAAAGCAGCCUCCGCGUCUGUUUUCAGAUUUUCGCGCUUAGCUCUCUCCAGAGCUGGAAAGCUUUUCUAAUAUUAAAGCGGGUCCUAAAGUGUUUGCCCAGUCAUAAACCUUCAUUCCAGUGAUAUUCUUUUAAGCUCUUUUGUAUUGUCUCAUCUCUCUUUCUGCAGUUUUUUUUUUUUUUUUUCAAAUCUCCAUUUUGCUCGUUCUGUCUCCUCGACCGUUAUACGCCCCCUAAUGCUGAUUGGUUACACGUUUGUUGUUAGUGUCGGGCUGUCUAACUUCCAAACAGUGUUUUUGAAAAACUACUUACCCCACCUUUAACUGACUAACCGUUAAACAAAUCCACCUUUUCCCUAACGAGCCUACUGCGUUUUAGAUCAUGGGAGGAGUUCCACUCAUAAAGACUGAAACAAAUAAUUUCAAAUCAUAAGGUUGCGCUACAAAUAAUCCUUAUCCAUCAAUUUGACUGAAUCAGCAGUAAAAUUUCGUUCAUGUUUUGUUAUUUAAUGGUAUUUUAAUGUAACAAGAAUAUCUAUGACAAGAGCUCUUUUCAGUCGCUGCAUUCUUUUCCUCCUGAUUAUUUUCUCUUUUUUUUCCAUUUUGUAUUCCGCUGUAACAGCAUGAAGAAAAAUACAUAUACUGUGCAUUUGUGGCCUGCUCUCUCGAUUUAAUUUACAAUAUAUCCCAUGAAUAAUUCACUGGAAUGGACUCUCGGUUUUUUCUCCCCAAAUCCUUACAUCUCUUUCUAGGUUUAUCACAUGGAAAUGUAACUGUCUCCCCUUUUCACUUCUAAUCCCUAUUAGCAGUGUUUACUGGAAUGUUUCUAAAGCAGGUAGACAAUAUCACUUUGAAAUAUCACUCAAUGUUCCAGUUAAUGAACAUUUUUGAUUAAGGCGACGUAUUACACAAUACAGACAUACAUCACUACAGGGAUAUUUAACACGUCUUUAAUAUUGCUGUGGAAAUAAUUGUGGUCUGUUGUAGUAAUGUUUUUAUGCUUUUACACUUUUAAAUUAGGCUUCGAUGGUUGAAGGGUAAGUAGAAUAAUGUCAUCUAUUUGAACCGAGUUUUUGAAAAUGCGUAUUCAUAGAGCAAAUCUUUGUGUAAAUCCAACACAUGACCUAAAAGACAAGACAUGGGCUAAAUGUUUUUUUUUUUUUUUCAAACAGCAAUACGUCAACAUGCCAUUUGUCAUAUGCCAAACUCACCCUUCAUCUGAAAAGGUCAACUAUAGUAUAGUAUGAGAGCAUUUACUGUAUUGGCAGCAAACUCAUAUUGGAUACAUGCAAUUAUAAUGUAUUUUACAUCAGUUUCAUAAAGCUAAUGUAAGUGUAUUUUCUGAUGUGAUAACUAUAGCCUUUUUUGCAUUGUAGAAGUAAAAUAUCAUCCCAUAUCCUGUUAACUGUCAAUGUCCCGGUAGCGGGACACUUGGCGCGCUUUUUUAUUGCCUUUUUCCCUAUCACAUAUAUCAUUUGAAAGCUUAAACACUCAAAAUUCAUCUUGUGACAUUGCAUUACCAUGGAAAUUGUACUUUAAAAUCUUUUAGCUGACUCAAUUUGUGAUAUCAAAUUUGGAACUCAACUUGAUUAGACAUAUGGCUUUGAUUUUCUAGCAAUUUUAAAUAGCAAAUUAUUUUGUAAAAUAUGUAUUUUGUAUUCAAAUAAAUAGUUCAAUACAUUUGCAUUACGGUAAAAACAGAAAAAAGGGCAAUAGAAAAGCACACCAAGAGUCACACUACCGGGAUACUGACAGUUAGCAGGCUACAGAAAUGCGUCAAAUUUCUGAAUAAAACAGCUUUCUAGUUUGUCAUCUGUCUCUGAUGCUUUUUCAUGGGGAAUUACAACACUCGUGCAUGUGUAUGUGUUUGUGUAUUGUAUGUGUGUGUGUGUUUGUGUAAUGUGUGAGUGUGUCUGUAUUGUGUCAUCUGUAAGCAGCUGUUUUCAGAAGCUUCUGUUGCUUGGUGACAGAACCCCAGAACUAUUGAUCCUCACAGGGAUUUAAUCGAAGGUUAUGAGUGAGUGUGUGUGUUUGUCCGGUGUUUUAUGGCAGAGGUGUUUUGAAUAUUUCAGUCCCUCCUGCAGAGUGUGUGUCCUGACGGCUCAGGGGUUGGAAGAGAGGGUACAUUCAACUAAUAAAUAUAACAUCAUCUGUCUGUCUUUCUUUCAUUCAUUCUCUAUCUCUCUCUCAUGAUUCGCUACAAUAAGAAUGUUGAUCUAAUCAGACACACAGCGCUCAUUAGAGGAGGAAAUAACAUCACUCACACAGAAGCUGUCUUUCAGAUACACAUACGAGUGUGAUAUUAUCGGUCACUGAAGUGACAAAGCAAUGAUAGCUCAACACUGAUGAUGCAAAUCUCAAUGCAACUAUUAAUCUUACUCUCAUUAUUGGAUGUCUCAUCAUUGCUCAUCAAAGUCAUGGUUUCACCUAAGGAAACCUCAGUGGAGAAAGAAACAGGAUGAAAGUGAAGUGAGAGACUCUAUAUGCUAUUUAGAGGAAUGGUAUCUGUGUUAGACAACAAAUUCAUGAAACACAGGGUUUCAAGUUUACAAAAUGAAACAAAUCUAACUCGAUUUAACAGUUUCACAGUGCUCGCUACUUUAUAUAGUGCUACUGUAUAUAGCACUAGAAGUGUGAGCACUGAGCAGCCAAUCAUGUGAAACACGAGUGAACAUGAUUCAUUUCUCUGCAGAAAAUGAAGAGAUAAUCCGUAUUUCAGAGUCAGAAUUAGAAAGAGAUUUAUUGCCAAGUAUAUUUGCACACCCAAGGAAUUUGUUUAGGUGACAGAAGAAGCUUUCCAGUGCACAGAGACAGCAACAGUACACAGAUGUUGAUGACGCUGACGUUCCCCUCCAUCCUCCCCACCACAACCCAGUCCAGGUCGACCCAGUCCAUCCAUCGGGGGUAGGCUCCGCCCCUGCCUUCAUCUUCAGCCAGGAUCAGCCAAAUCUGCAUCCCCAGGAUUCGGAGGAAGGAUGGGGCCUACGCCAAAGAACUUCAGUACAACUAAGCAUGAAACGUUGUACCAUGUUUAGUUGUACUGUCCGUCACUACCAUCUGUUUAUACUUUAUGGAAUAAAUAACAUGUAAAUGUU
Long non-coding RNA from Ctenopharyngodon idella (grass carp), 7094 nucleotides. RefSeq lists it as uncharacterized. The transcript has 2 exons. Lineage: Eukaryota; Metazoa; Chordata; Actinopteri; Cypriniformes; Xenocyprididae. The record is from RefSeq and is a predicted model, not a curated record.